GGAUGGUCCAAAAUGGCAGCGCACCUCCACUCUGAGGAAGAAUUGGUGAGUACUUGGCUGUGACCUCCUUUUUCCCGCGUCGGAGGCGGGCGGGGCGAGUCGCUGCGAGGUGAAACAAGGUAGAGCUUUUCUCUCGUUGUUAGCGAGAGCCGUUACAGCGGCCCGCACAUGUAACGUCGUGUAAGUUGUAGCUCGAAUGAAUUAGCAGCGGCCGUUGGUAUGUCCGCGCGUGUGAGCGAGUGUGUGUGUCCGCGCUCGUGGGUGCGUGCGUGCGUACGUCGGUUGGGAGCAGCUAGAGUUGCCCGGCGUGGCGGCGGUGUGGUGUUGGUGUGGAAGCAGUUGGUGAUAGAGCCGGGUGUCCGCCGCCGCCGUCGCGUCGCUCCUCCGUCCGCUCCCCCCCUCGCGCCCUCGCCGCCGACCCCUCCCAGUGGGUGCCCUUGUCGCUUUGUCGCCUCGUCCUUCCUCGUGGCCGCCGGAGCUGCCGCAGGGACCUGUGUCGUCCCCCCGACGUCGCUGGCCUGCCCUCGUCCUCUCCGCCCGCGCCCCUAGGAACAGCGGAAAGGAGGAGGAGGAGGGUCCUGGGCGGCGUGGAAUGUGCCCCCGAAGCUCACUGCAGGAGACUUCAGGAGGGAAAAGAAAAGCGAGGAGCACUUGGUGAUAGCCCGUGUGGAGAGGCGCCAGGGUGUGUGUCCCCCCCUGUCUGUGUAUGUCCAUACGCACACGUGUUCAUGUACGUGUACCUUUUAUGUGUGUGUGUAUGUAAACAAUGUGUGUGAACCGAGGAUGAAAUUAUGGGAGCCUUUGUCAGGCGAAGAGCAUGGGAAGACUCCUUCGCGUAGAAUGAGCACUGUGACGGAACGCUGAAGUAUAACGGGCCGCCUCCUCUGCCAGGGCGUCGGGACGGCUGGAACUCCUGACAGGAACUCCGAUGUGGAAACGGCGUGGCUGGGGCGUCUCCCUCGCUCCUGCGGGACCGGAAAUCUCUCGUGUGUGAAUCCGAAGGAGUCCGUUCAGCGGUGUGAUGGAGAGGGAAGAAAGAGAAAGAGAAAGAAAGAAAGAAAGAAAGAAAGAAAGAAAGAAAGAAAGAAAGAAAGAAAGAAAGAAAGAAAGAAAGAAAGAAAGAAAGAAAGAAAGAAACUGUGUGUAUGUGUAUGUGCAUAUGUAUGUGCAUAUGUAUGUAUGUGUGCAUGUGUAUGUGUAUGUAUAUGUGUAUGUGUUUGUGAGGAGAGUGAAUACCUGGAUGAGUGACUGAGUGCGAAUGCAACAACAACAACAAAAAAAGAAAACAAAGAAUAAGAGAAAGAGGGAUCUAGUGAGUAAGUGUCCGACAGGGCGAGUGAACAAGUAAAUUAGACGAAAUGAGAACUAAUGGAGGGAAGG
Long non-coding RNA from Penaeus chinensis, 1380 nucleotides. RefSeq lists it as uncharacterized. The record is from RefSeq and is a predicted model, not a curated record. Lineage: Eukaryota; Metazoa; Arthropoda; Malacostraca; Decapoda; Penaeidae. The transcript is spliced from 2 exons.